Molecule: ribosomal RNA, 254 nt
Filed under: uncultured bacterium
Lineage: Bacteria
Description: partial 16S ribosomal RNA
Rfam family: Bacterial small subunit ribosomal RNA
Source: RNAcentral
UACGUAGGCAGCAAGCGUUGUUCGGAGUUACUGGGCGUAAAGGGUGUGUAGGCGGUUGUUUAAGUUUGGUGUGAAAUCUCCCGGCUCAACUGGGAGGGUGCGCCGAAUACUGAAUGACUUCGAGUGCGGGAGAGGAAAGUGGAAUUCCUGGUGUAGCGGUGAAAUGCGUAGAUAUCGAGAGGAACACCUGCGGCGAAGGCGGGUUGCUGGGCUGACACUGACGCUGAGGCGCGAAAGCUAGGGGAGCGAACGGG